GGGUUGUGAGGUUAAGCGACUAAGCGUACACGGUGGAUGCCCUGGCAGUCAGAGGCGAUGAAGGGCGUGCUAAUCUGCGAUAAGCGCCGGUAAGGUGAUAUGAACCGUUAUAACCGGCGAUACCCGAAUGGGGAAACCCAGUGUGACUCGUCACACUAUCAUUAACUGAAUCCAUAGGUUAAUGAGGCGAACCGGGGGAACUGAAACAUCUAAGUACCCCGAGGAAAAGAAAUCAACCGAGAUUCCCCCAGUAGCGGCGAGCGAACGGGGAGGAGCCCAGAGCCUGAAUCAGCAUGUGUGUUAGUGGAAGCGUCUGGAAAGGCGCGCGAUACAGGGUGACAGCCCCGUACACAAAAGCGCAUGUGCUGUGAGCUCGAUGAGUAGGGCGGGACACGUGGUAUCCUGUCUGAAUAUGGGGGGACCAUCCUCCAAGGCUAAAUACUCCUGACUGACCGAUAGUGAACCAGUACCGUGAGGGAAAGGCGAAAAGAACCCCGGCGAGGGGAGUGAAAAAGAACCUGAAACCGUGUACGUACAAGCAGUGGGAGCACCCUUUGGGUGUGACUGCGUACCUUUUGUAUAAUGGGUCAGCGACUUAUAUUCUGUAGCAAGGUUAACCGAAUAGGGGAGCCGGAGGGAAACCGAGUCUUAAUUGGGCGUUAAGUUGCAGGGUAUAGACCCGAAACCCGGUGAUCUA
This 697-nucleotide ribosomal RNA is filed under the name Salmonella enterica subsp. enterica serovar Enteritidis. RNAcentral's name for it is "partial 23S ribosomal RNA". It matches the Rfam family "Bacterial large subunit ribosomal RNA", at positions 1 to 732 of the family's 2925-position model. The record is from RNAcentral. Lineage: Bacteria; Pseudomonadati; Pseudomonadota; Gammaproteobacteria; Enterobacterales; Enterobacteriaceae.